Non-coding RNA from Xyrichtys novacula (pearly razorfish), 2242 nucleotides. The record is from the annotation of a GenBank genome assembly. Lineage: Eukaryota; Metazoa; Chordata; Actinopteri; Labriformes; Labridae.
GGUCAACAUGGCCAUGUCCUCAAUCUUGUCGAAUUUUGGAGGAUUCUGUUGCAGAAUCUGUGAGUCCUUGACUGUCGCAGUCUAGAAAAAAACAGACUUUCUCAAUAAAUAAAAUAUGUAUCAUCACAUCAAUUCAGACAUCUCUUUUGGCUUGUACUUCCACGAGAUUCACCUCAGUAUUUCUUUCAAACCAUUUGAGAACAUGCCUCUUGUUGCCAGAUGGUAACAGUCAUUUGUUUCGUCCCUCUGUUCCUCAGUGUUUUGACAGGAGACAUUUCAACUACAGUAGUUCUUGCACCCCCAUUAAAACUUGUAUUUACACUCACUUAAGGAUGGCUGCUUUAGAUUUCACGUAGAUUAACACUCAGAUAAACACUCUGAUAGGACUCCACACCCACACUCACAUAUAGCCUUUUACUCAUGUAACACAACUCAACAGACUAACCAGGUGGAGUUUAAAAUUCUCAGACAGAUAGUUGGCAAAACCAGAAAAUGAUGAGGAUCUAGCAUUAAAGCUAGCAUGUACCUACUUGGUAGGUAAAGGCACAAUGUUUUGGCCCUGAAUUAAUGAUGAAUACUGGCCUCUGGGCCCCAAAAUAAACGUUAUGUAUCUACACUUUAAAAAAUCCAUCCAAAACCUGCAUCCAGAUGAACCUCACAGUAGUUUUUGCAGUACUUUUUUGACAUUUUAAGCUCAUGUUGAUGAGCAUUGUGUGAGGCUUAGAAAAUACAAACCAAGUUUAUGAAUGUUGACAUGUAUUUACUCACCUUCCCUCUCUGUGUCUCCACGGUGACCUUGUCUCCAUCUCUGCUGGUGAUGGUUGCCUUCACAAACUCUUCCACUGGAUCUGGGACGAAGCAUUCCUUCUUUAUGUCAAAGAGACGUGUGGAGGCUUCCAUACGCUCCUUGUCCGACUUCCUCAGGUAUGGGGCAGCUGCCCCAAACACAGACAUCUCUGCAUCCCCCAUGGCUGCACUAAUUUACAUUUGUUUAUUAGUGAUUGAUCAUGACUCUCAAUUUUCACCAUGAAAUGUAAUGUUUUACAAUACUUUCCAUAGUUGGUUCCCACAAUAUAAGUAUGACCCUAUCUGUUAGAAUCACACUUUGACUUUUUAAAAACAUCAGUUUAUAAGCCAUAUCUCAAGAAUAUUUAAUUCAAAAGAAAUUACCCGUAGGAUCAAGUCAGAUGUCAGGUGAGCUCAGACUUCAGAGUGUUGUUCAGUGAUGCACCUGAAGUGGGCAGAGAAAACCAUCAAUUAGAUAUCAAUGUUGAUUUAAAAUGUUUUAAAUCAGAAGAUCUUACUCACAGGGGCAUUUCCUGUUUUUCAUAUUAGUAGUAUUAGCUCCAUCAUAUUUUAAAAGUGUGCUCUUCGAGCAAUCCUUUGUAUUCAAAUAAAGUUAUGAAAACAUCAAAUCAAGUGGGAGAAAUGUUGUGUUAGGAAAUGUAGUGCAGACUUACAGAGGCCAGGUGAAGAGGGAGCAGCCACUAGACCUGCAGGGAGAGCAGGGAUCAAAUAUAUAACCCCUGGUAACCCUACCUUACAAGGCCAAGGACACCACCCUGACCUGCUGACACAUAUGCACACAUAGCUACACACUCACUCACACAUAUACACAAAGACAACAACAGGUACACUUUUUGAACAUGUCAUUUAACCACACACACACACACACACACACACACACACACACACAAAUGUGGUAAUCGCCUUCACUUUCAUCACUUGUGACAGGGCUCUCUAUGGUAUCAUGAUGUCUGGCUGCCCUCUAUGCUCACCACCAAAUAAUGUGACUUUUCGGGAGCAGUGCCAGCAUAGCUUGCCUCUGACUCACCCCAGCACAGCCUCUCUAUCUCGAAUUAUUCCACACUUUUGCCUGUCAUCUCUUCUGCUUAAUUCUUUUUCCAUGUGAGGGUUUGUUGUGGACAGAAACCAGGUGCUAUUUAUUGCCUGUGAGGAGAGACAAAGAGCGGCUGAGUGGAACAAUGGUCAGAAUGGUCAAAAAUAAAUUGAUGUGUCAAUAAAUAAAGUGCUCAUGUCAUUUUUGAGUCAUCCUUCUGGAGUAAAAAGAUGAAAUAAAAUAGUUUCAACAGGGGCAUAAGUCUCUACCCAGUCACCAUGUCCUCACUUAUCACUGCCCAGAGACUGCACCUCCAAAGCUGCACAGAUGAUGUCUUUGCUAUCUCAAUGACCAAUCUUAAAGUAGAUAAGCAUGAUUGAACUCAACAGAUCUUCCAAAGAU